RNAcentral lists this ribosomal RNA (774 nucleotides) under uncultured Neocallimastigales. RNAcentral's name for it is "partial large subunit ribosomal RNA". It matches the Rfam family "Eukaryotic large subunit ribosomal RNA", at positions 24 to 649 of the family's 3401-position model. Lineage: Eukaryota; Fungi; Neocallimastigomycota; Neocallimastigomycetes; Neocallimastigales. The record is from RNAcentral.
UAUGUGAUCGUCUCUCGCAUAUCAAUAAGCGGAGGAAAAGAAACUAACAAGGAUUCCCCUAGUAACGGCGAGUGAAGCGGGAAGAGCUCAAAUUUGAAAUCUUAAAGGGUUUCCCUUUACGAAUUGUAGUUUAAAGAAGUGUUUUCUGUUGAGGUUUUGGUAAAAGUUCUUUGGAAUAGGACAUCAUAGAGGGUGAGAAUCCCGUAUUUGACCUUUACUUUCAACUUUGUGAUACACUUUCAAAGAGUCGGAUUGUUUGGGAAUGCAGUCCAAAAUGGGUGGUAAAUUUCAUCUAAAGCUAAAUAUUGGCGAGAGACCGAUAGCGAACAAGUACCGUGAGGGAAAGAUGAAAAGAACUUUGAAAAGAGAGUUAAACAGUACGUGAAAUUGUCAAAAGGGAAGCGUUUGACACCAGUGUUGUUUUUCUGAAAAUCAAUUAAAGAACUGUUUAUGCUAAGUUGUUUAGACUUUAUCAGCUAACUGUUUAGUUUUGAGCUUUUCUUUAAUGCACUUUUCAGUUAACAAGUCAACAUCAAUUUCUUUUGCUGUAAAAAAGCUUGAGGAAGGUGGCUUGAGAUUCGUCUUAAGUGUUUAUAGCCUCUUGCCUAUGCAGUCGGAGAGAUUGAGGUCUGCAGCGUAGAUCCUUCGGGGCUAAAUGCAUUUGUGCUAAGUUAUAACAUUUUAUAGACAACUUGUUGACUAUGAUUUGUCUUGUAGCUUACUCGCUUAUGUUAUUUUACCUACGCUUAGGAUGUUGAGUAGCGACAUACGCAC